This is a long non-coding RNA of Syngnathus typhle (broad-nosed pipefish), 762 nucleotides long. RefSeq lists it as uncharacterized. NCBI's taxonomy places the organism in Eukaryota, Metazoa, Chordata, Actinopteri, Syngnathiformes, Syngnathidae. The record is from RefSeq and is a predicted model, not a curated record. The transcript is spliced from 3 exons.
UAAAACUUUUAAGUUGAGCAAUUCAACUAUUGUAAAACUUGGCUUUGCUGCUUUUCACAACUAAGAAAAAAGGCUGUCCCUUAUAUUGAAUCCCAACUUAAUUGUUCCCAUAAACGUCAGUAAUUUAUACCGUACCAGCUAGAAUUAAGGAAAGACAAAUCCUGUUUUCUUGAUACAUAAACUGCACCAGAUUAUAAACCACAUGUGUUUUAAAUGUAACGUCCUCAUUUCUAUUAACUGUAUUACCAAAACAAAUCCUCUUACAACAUCAUAAAAAUCAUGAAAGAUCCAUAAAUAAUCCGCACUAGACUAUAUGCUGCAGGGUUCGAAGCUUGUGCAAAUAGUAGCGGUUUAAUAGUCUGGAAAUUACGGUAUUUAAUUUUUUUCCCUACCUAAAUUACUGUUUUAGGCUCAAAAUAUAAAUUGUGUGAGUUUUUUUUUUUUUUUACAGUGAAGGCAAUUGUGAACAAGGCUUGGAGUGAGAGUCAACAUAAAAGUAAUUUACUAAACUCUCGGAUUGCAGAAGAGUGUACAGUGUUCCUCUGGCUUGUCAAAGAGAAGAUAUAAGUGUGACAUUCAAAAUGAAGAGUGAAGUUAGAAAACAAGCGUCCAUGGCUGCCUCAUUUCAGGCCGCCAUUGACAAGAUGGGCUGGUUGUAAGAUAACAUGAGAGAGAAGAAAGCCCUGACAGAAUGUGACAAAUGUGAGGGACCCAAUCAGGAUGUGUCAGGCUGGAACCUAUUGGAAUCUGUGCAAAACCACA